UUUUAUGAUUAUCACUUUCCGCUGCCGAAGCCAACGUGAAUCGCUGCGAAGAGUUCAAGUCGGUAGUCGUUGCAUGUGUCGUUCUCGUUAGUUGUUUCUGUUGUGAGGAUAUGUUUGCCCAGAAUUUACAAGACAUGUCCUCAAUUUGUUCUUCUCUGCGACUUCUCUUGCCUCCUUGGAGACGCAAGAAUGCUCGCCUCUUGGUCCUCUUGCGUUCGAGGAGACGGCCUUCCCUCAUCAUCCGAGCAAUUUCUUCUUCUUCCUCCUCGGAGAGCGACGAUGCAGCGCCGAAGCCCAGGCGGAGCCAGGUGGGUUAUGAUCCGGCCGAGGAGUUACUGGGGCUGGAGGUCGAUUUGCCCUCAAGGAAUGCCAUUUCUGGCACACCCCGACCAAGGUCCUGGUUUGGCCCUAAUGGCCAGUAUAUGAGAGAGCUACCUUGCCCAAGUUGUCGUGGAAGGGGUUAUACUCCUUGUACUGAUUGCGGGAUUGAAAGAUCAAGACUGGACUGUUCACUGUGCAAUGGAAAGGGUAUAGUGACCUGCCAUCGGUGCGUGGGCGAAUGUGUUAUAUGGGAAGAAUCAAUUGAUGAACAACCAUGGGAGAAAGCCCGAUCCAUUUCUCCAUUUAAAGUAAAGGAGGAUGAUGAAGUUGAUAAUCUAGACAUAAAGCUGGAUGUAAGGAAGAAGUCAAAGCGAGUAUACCAGUCAACAUCUCCUGAAGUUGGUCUGAAGAUCAGCCGAGCACUUAAAAGUCUCAAUGAGAAAACUGGACUAUUUAGCAACAGAAUGAAGAUUAUUCACCGUGAUCCCAUGCUUCAUGCACAAAGAGUGGCUGCAAUCAAGAAAGCCAAAGGAACUCCUGCAGCGAGGAAACAUGCUUCUGAACUGCAGAAAGUUUUUUUCAGUGAUCCUGAGAACCGCCGCAAGAGGAGCAUGGCCAUGAAAGGUAAGUUUCUAUAAGAUAUUGGAUUUAUUUAGUUUUAAAUAGUCAUUCAUGUGAAUUUUGAUCCUCUACAUUGUGGCAUGAUCUUCUAGAAGAUUUUCUCCAAUAUUAUGACAGCAUGUGUUUCCUUAGUGAACACCUUUAAGUUAUCAACAGGUAAGUGUGUUCUGCACCUAGACUGAUGAGGAAGACUACCAUCUCCUCCAGAUGAAUUCAUAAUCUGCAGAUUCUCUCCUUGAAGCACAAAGAAAUAAGGAGAUAGAGGGGAUUUUCCUUUCUCGACCUUCCAUCAGCAACACUCCCUCUUAAAUUCAUUGACUGCUGAUCCCCAAGCUGGCAAAUGAUUUAGAUCAGGCAUUAAAUUUUACUGCUCGUACUGUGGACGCGAAGGACAUAGGAGGCAUUAUUGUCCUGAACAUAGGGACAGUUUGAUCGACAGGCGUUUCAGAUGUCGCGUCUGUGGAGAAAAGGGCCAUAAUAGAAGAACUUGUGAAA
This is an RNA transcript of Rhodamnia argentea, 1437 nucleotides long. RefSeq lists it as uncharacterized. Lineage: Eukaryota; Viridiplantae; Streptophyta; Magnoliopsida; Myrtales; Myrtaceae. The transcript has 8 exons. The record is from RefSeq and is a predicted model, not a curated record.